AGACGAACGGACAGCUAUCAAUGGAUUAUUUUGAUAUGGGGUCACGAAGAGCAUCUUUUUCUAUGAUUCCUAAGUGGAUGUAUGGACGUUUAUUCUCCAUGGACACCGGAAACAGCGACAUGCCCGACAAGUCACACCUUCUGUGUCAUCCUGUCAUUGGCACAAUCGCAGUGAUGUCAUCGCAGGUGAAGCCCAUUACCUUGGAGUAAAGGAAGCAGCCCUGAGCGGUCCAGGCAGAAAGCAAGUUGGGAUGGUGGGUGAUUCACAAAACAAAGGACUUUGCC
Long non-coding RNA from Epinephelus moara (kelp grouper), 284 nucleotides. RefSeq lists it as uncharacterized. Lineage: Eukaryota; Metazoa; Chordata; Actinopteri; Perciformes; Serranidae. The transcript is spliced from 3 exons. The record is from RefSeq and is a predicted model, not a curated record.